Zingiber officinale is the source of this 603-nucleotide long non-coding RNA. RefSeq lists it as uncharacterized. NCBI's taxonomy places the organism in Eukaryota, Viridiplantae, Streptophyta, Magnoliopsida, Zingiberales, Zingiberaceae. The transcript has 4 exons. The record is from RefSeq and is a predicted model, not a curated record.
GAUCCUAUUCCUUUCCCGACCUUUCCUUCUCCUCUGGUCUCGGCGAACCGCGGCGACGGGGCUUCGAUUUGGGGUUUGCGCUUAUUGUCGGAAAGGGACCGAGGGCACCGGCGUUAGAUCUGGCCAGCGUCGAACGAUUGUGUGAGGUCACCAUCAUUAUCCCUCUCCGAUCUCCUUCCCCUGCUCGUCGGCAAGCACAGAUUGUGCCCUAGCCGGGAUUUGUGGAGGUUUUGGUUGAGAAUUAGGGUUCUGACCUCUUCUCUGUGCGUUAGCAAGAACAAGACCGAGCCCUAAUCGGGAUAUUGGAGGGGUGCUGUGGUGAUUUCAGCCAUCACAGAUUGAUUGGGUUGGUCCCUCCAUCGGAGUUGUGAUCAUCUCCGACAAUUGAAGCAGUAGAGGACCUUGAUCUAUACGAGCAGCGUGACGUGGGGUGGUUCUGUUGAUACGAGAUAUCUGGAGGCGGGUAUUUCUUCCUUUUCUCCUAUUUAGUUCUUUGAACUAUAAAGCAUGGUUGUUUUUGAAUGCUUAGGUUGCAUUACCUUAAAUCUGUAUAUUUGUUUUAUUCCUGCUUGUCUCCUUCUAUUUGAGCUUUGAUAUGAUCAU